GACUCCCAAUGAAAGAACUGCUCUGAUAUUACUUCUAUCACGACCCAAACCGAAGGGCCGCGACGGGCACCCGGUGCCUUACUCAACCGAGUACCAACAUAACACAUCUUUCUUAUUAUACUAUCUUGAGCAAAAUAAGCCAGAAACUUGUCACGAGAUAACAAGAAUAAAACAUAAGGGAGUACUCAACAUAUAACGACCCAACAUGAUAUACAAACUUAUACAUGUGACAUACGGGCCUAUAAGGCCGACAUGACCAUUUGUAAACUCAACACAUAGGCCAACAAGGCCAUUCAAGUAUCCAUAAACCUGACAUCUGUCUACAAGCCUCUAAGAGUACAUAAAAUCAUAAAGGUCGGGACAGGGCCCCAUCAUACCAAUCAAUACAUAUCCAAAGCAUAUUGACCAAAUAGGCAACUCCGGAGCAAGUGGAAUGUACCAACACCUCCGCUGAGCUUAUAGCCUACUAGGAGGAAUGUCAACCUAUCAAUUGGGACCUGCAGGCAUGAAACACAGCGUUCCCAGGCAAAAGGGACGUUAGUACGACUAAAAUACCGAGUAUGUAAGGUAGGAAAGCAUAAACAAGAACAGUAAUUUAAAGAGAGAUAGAUGAGAUACAACAUGUAACAUCUGCGUGCCUCUGGGGGCUAUUGACAUGAAAUGCAUAAUACAUAUAUAUACAUAAACUUUUAGAAACAUACGCCUCUGUAAGCAUCAUCAUCAUCAUAUCGUACCCGGCCUCAAAGAGGACUCGGUAAAAACAUACCCGGCCAUUAUAAGGCUCGGUAGAAUCGUACCCGGCCACGUGGAGCUUGGUAAACCCAACUAAUCAGUGGUUGUACAAUAGGUGUCGUACCCGGCCGACUAUAGCGCAGCUCGGUGGAUUAAAGUAGAUACAUAUAUAAUGCAUGUUGGACUCAUAGAAUCAUGUUCUAAACCUUUCGAAGUGACGUAAGGUCAUUGCACCUUCGAUUAACAUUAUGGACAUCCCUACCAUCAAUAUGAACCUUAGUAGGAUUUAAGUAUCAUACACACUUGCUUAGAAUAACUUUAUAAGGAAAGAACAACAUGGACAACCUUAGUUUCUAGGAGUAGAUCCGUUAUAAAUUAGCAUACCGUUUAUGUUCGUUUCACUUUAGAACAUGCCAAUAGAAAGAAGUAAGUGCCUUAACAUACCUUAACCAUGUUGAGUCCUUAAUACCUCCCAGGCAACCCUUCAAACAACUCAAUUCAAUCUACCAUUGCAUAAGGAGAUUCAAAAUCAAUAUUGAAUAAAGGCUAAGUCUGCAAGAUAAACUUGGAGCUCGUUAUAUAAAUUUGGGCAACAUCUCCCUGUAACAAGAGCCUACUCCAAUACCAUAUACCAACAACAAUUACCAGAGAAAUCCAACAAUACAUAAUUAUCAAUAAUAAGACACCAUAAAACAACAACAAGUCACAACUAUUUUACGACGAGCGGCAAGCUCCAAUUGGAAUUCGUAUAUCCCAUAUCACCCUUAUAGACUAUUACUUUAACUUAAUAGUAUCAUUAAUAUGAUAAUGAAGUCGUUCAUCAAUAAUUUCAGCCUCAUACCAUAUAUCCAGAACAAAGAAAACGAUCCACAACUCCAAUUAUUCUCAAUUAGCAACUUUAUUCACUAGUUCAUGUCUAGUUCAUCUAUUUAACUCAAUCGAUGUCAAUAUAACCUUAAGAACCUGUAGGAACACAAUAUAAUUACAUCCUACAAUAGAUGCAAGUCGAAAUCCAUGUUAUAUUUAGCUUACAACAUCCCAACAUACCCAAAUCGAUUCAUAUCCAAAACGACGACUAUAGUAGUGUCAAACAUAAUGACUAAUCCAUGAUUUUUCCAUUAUGUGGUGUUUCUCCACAAAAUUUAUCCUCAAAAAACUCCAUUUAAUAGAAACAAAAUAGACAGCCCAAAAGCUACACGAAACAGCCCAAAAACAAUCCAUUACAAGUCAAAUAACUCGAACUCACGGCUUCCGAUCACCGUCCCGUGAGUUCUAACUAUUAUGAAAUCAAUUAAUCAACCUUCCUUGAUAUUUAAGAGCUUAAAACCAGAAAUUAAGAAUUUUCUCAACUAUUAAAUAUCUUUAAAAAAACUUAAACUACAAAGAAAAAGAGAGGCAAUAUAGCAAUACUUACGCUGUGGGGAUUGUUCUAGUGUUAUUGCUUCUUGAUUUCAUGCACGGGAUGAUGGUAUUGUUGGAAACCCUUGUAGAGAGCUUAAGGGUGAUGUUAGGGGUCUUGUUUGGUUGUGC
RNAcentral lists this long non-coding RNA (2262 nucleotides) under Nicotiana tabacum (common tobacco). RNAcentral's name for it is "long non-coding RNA (NTAB_LNC002895)". The record is from RNAcentral. Lineage: Eukaryota; Viridiplantae; Streptophyta; Magnoliopsida; Solanales; Solanaceae.